GGGCGAGUGGCGGAAUUGGUAUACGCGCAACGUUGAGGUCGUUGUGGGAGUUAAAUCCUGUGCAGGUUCAAGUCCUGUCUCGCCCACCA
RNAcentral lists this transfer RNA (89 nucleotides) under Patescibacteria group bacterium. RNAcentral's name for it is "tRNA-Leu". It matches the Rfam family "tRNA". From Rfam's summary of the family: Transfer RNA (tRNA) molecules are approximately 80 nucleotides in length. Their secondary structure includes four short double-helical elements and three loops (D, anti-codon, and T loops). The record is from RNAcentral.